GUGCCAGCCGCCGCGGUAAGACGUAGGGCGCGAGCGUUGUCCGGAUUUAUUGGGCGUAAAGAGCUCGUAGGCGGCUUGUUGCGUCAGCUGUGAAAACCCGCAGCUCAACUGUGGGCUUGCAGCUGAUACGGGCAGGCUUGAGUUCGGUAGGGGAGACUGGAAUUCCUGGUGUAGCGGUGAAAUGCGCAGAUAUCAGGAGGAACACCGGUGGCGAAGGCGGGUCUCUGGGCCGAUACUGACGCUGAGGAGCGAAAGCGUGGGGAGCGAACAGGAUUAGAUACCCUAGUAGUCC
RNAcentral lists this ribosomal RNA (292 nucleotides) under uncultured bacterium. RNAcentral describes it as "partial 16S ribosomal RNA". It matches the Rfam family "Bacterial small subunit ribosomal RNA", at positions 505 to 796 of the family's 1533-position model. The record is from RNAcentral.